RNAcentral lists this ribosomal RNA (497 nucleotides) under uncultured bacterium. RNAcentral's name for it is "partial 16S ribosomal RNA". It matches the Rfam family "Bacterial small subunit ribosomal RNA", at positions 28 to 507 of the family's 1533-position model. The record is from RNAcentral.
GAUGAACGCUGGCGGCGUGCCUAAUACAUGCAAGUCGAGCGAACGGACGAGAAGCUUGCUUCUCUGAUGUUAGCGGCGGACGGGUGAGUAACACGUGGAUAACCUACCUAUAAGACUGGGAUAACUUCGGGAAACCGGAGCUAAUACCGGAUGAUAUUUUGAACCGCAUGGUUCAAAAGUGAAAGACGGUCUUGCUGUCACUUAUAGAUGGAUCCGCGCUGCAUUAGCUAGUUGGUAAGGUAACGGCUUACCAAGGCAACGAUGCAUAGCCGACCUGAGAGGGUGAUCGGCCACACUGGAACUGAGACACGGUCCAGACUCCUACGGGAGGCAGCAGUAGGGAAUCUUCCGCAAUGGGCGAAAGCCUGACAGAGCAACGCCGCGUGAGUGAUAAAGGUCUUCGGAUCGUAAAACUCUGUUAUUAGGGAAGAACAUAUGUGUAAGUAACUGUGCACAUCUUGACGGUACCUAAUCAGAAAGCCACGGCUAACUACGUG